GCGGGCGUAGCAAUACGUCAGCGGCAGACGGGUGAGUAACGCGUGGGAACGUACCUUUUGGUUCGGAACAACACAGGGAAACUUGUGCUAAUACCGGAUAAGCCCUUACGGGGAAAGAUUUAUCGCCGAAAGAUCGGCCCGCGUCUGAUUAGCUAGUUGGUGAGGUAACGGCUCACCAAGGCGACGAUCAGUAGCUGGUCUGAGAGGAUGAUCAGCCACAUUGGGACUGAGACACGGCCCAAACUCCUACGGGAGGCAGCAGUGGGGAAUAUUGGACAAUGGGCGCAAGCCUGAUCCAGCCAUGCCGCGUGAGUGAUGAAGGCCCUAGGGUUGUAAAGCUCUUUUGUGCGGGAAGAUAAUGACGGUACCGCAAGAAUAAGCCCCGGCUAACUUCGUGCCAGCAGCCGCGGUAAUACGAAGGGGGCUAGCGUUGCUCGGAAUCACUGGGCGUAAAGGGUGCGUAGGCGGGUCUUUAAGUCAGGGGUGAAAUCCUGGAGCUCAACUCCAGAACUGCCUUUGAUACUGAGGAUCUUGAGUUCGGGAGAGGUGAGUGGAACUGCGAGUGUAGAGGUGAAAUUCGUAGAUAUUCGCAAGAACACCAGUGGCG
RNAcentral lists this ribosomal RNA (607 nucleotides) under uncultured bacterium. Its description in RNAcentral is "bacterial SSU rRNA". It matches the Rfam family "Bacterial small subunit ribosomal RNA", at positions 66 to 717 of the family's 1533-position model. The record is from RNAcentral.